RNAcentral lists this long non-coding RNA (238 nucleotides) under Vigna radiata. Its description in RNAcentral is "long non-coding RNA (VRAD_LNC000683)". Lineage: Eukaryota; Viridiplantae; Streptophyta; Magnoliopsida; Fabales; Fabaceae. The record is from RNAcentral.
AAUAAGAUUGCGUGACUGCAUCAUUGAAUGAUUCUAGGGUUAGUACUGAAGUUAACCCAAGGGAGGAAUGCCAAACCACUAUCUCUAAAAGUGAUAAGGUUGUUGAUGAGAAGAUAGAGGAAGGAAAGAUAGAGGUAUAUGAAGAGAAGAUAGAGGAGAAAAAAAUGGAGAGAAAGGAGGAGAAGAUAGAGGAAAAAGAGAUAGAGAUAAAUAAGGAGAAGAUAGAGGAGAAAAAAAU